CCAAAUAGAGGUGAAUUUUUGUUAAUAAUUUUAUUGGGUUUACCCUUCUUCUGUAAGUUUAAAUCUAGCUAAAAAUAUAAAUUUUAUUUAAUGUAUAUAGAUUUAUAAGUUAAUCAAAAUUUAUUUAGUACAAAAAAUUUUGUAACUAGCCAACCUAGUCAAAGUAAAUAAAUGAUCCAUUAGGUGCCAGCAUUCGCGGUUAUACCUAUAUUUAUUAUAUCAUUCAAGAUUUAGGACUUUCCAAUUUAAUAUAAAGAUUUUAGGGGUAAAAUCCUGCUUAUCUUUUAAUUCAUUUAAACCUUUAAAAUUAACAUAUAAACAGGGAUUAGAUACCCCUCUAUAUAAACCACAUAAAUAUCUAGGGUAGUAAAUGCUAUGCAACCUCAAACCCAAAGAUUUUGGCGGCAAUCAACCUUUCCAGAGAGACCUGUUUAUUUAUUUGACAACCCACACUAUAUCUUACUUUUAUUAAAAUUUGCAUACCGUCAUCUAAAUUUUAUCUUAAGAUAAAUAUUUUAAAGAUAACAAAAAUGUUAGAUCAACGCGCAGUAUAUUUAAAAGCUUUUAAUGGGUCUCAAUUUAAACCAAGUAGAAAAAGUUUUAACCCCCUUUAAAAAGAGGAUUUGGAUGUAAUAAUUUUUUAAAAUAAUAUUAUGAUUAAGCCAUUGAUUGUGUACAUAUCGCCCGUCGCCCUCGACACGAGGUAAGUCGUAACAUAGUAGAAGUACUAGAAAGUGUUUCUU
Molecule: non-coding RNA, 743 nt
Filed under: Proasellus beticus
Lineage: Eukaryota; Metazoa; Arthropoda; Malacostraca; Isopoda; Asellidae
Source: RNAcentral